UACAGGGGGGGGCAAGCGUUGUUCGGAAUUACUGGGCGUAAAGGGUCUGUAGGUGGCCAACUAAGUCAGACGUGAAAUCCCUCAGCUUAACUGGGGAACUGCGUCUGAUACUGGAUGGCUUGAGUGUGGGAGAGGAAUGCGGAAUUCCAGGUGUAGCGGUGAAAUGCGUAGAUAUCUGGAGGAACACCGGUGGCGAAGGCGGCAUUCUGGACCAUAACUGACACUGAGAGACGAAAGCCAGGGGAGCAAACGGGG
RNAcentral lists this ribosomal RNA (255 nucleotides) under uncultured bacterium. RNAcentral describes it as "partial 16S ribosomal RNA". It matches the Rfam family "Bacterial small subunit ribosomal RNA", at positions 524 to 777 of the family's 1533-position model. The record is from RNAcentral.